This is a long non-coding RNA of Stylophora pistillata, 666 nucleotides long. NCBI's taxonomy places the organism in Eukaryota, Metazoa, Cnidaria, Anthozoa, Scleractinia, Pocilloporidae. The record is from RefSeq and is a predicted model, not a curated record.
AUUUGCCAUGUAGAGUUUUAAUGUUUUUUAGUUGAAGAAUUUAAACUUACGUCCCAUCUGCAAAACCUGUUGAUUGAUGAGCACUACCCUGUUAAUUUUCAGAACUUGACAGGAAAUUUUCAUCUGAAGAUGGGGCUGCUAUUCAGAAAUCAUUUGAACUUUAUCAGAAGAUUGAAUAUAUGGCCUCUUCUAUAAACCAGAGAUUGAAAAAUAUCAAUCGACUAGCAGAUACCUCAAAACAAUGUCAUCGCUUAGGCAAAAAGAUCAGUGAAGAAAAGUCAGACCUUGCAAGGCUUAUUUCAUAGUACAAUGGUCUUGCUACCACAGAUUGUAAAGUGGAAAUUGCAGAUGCCCUUGACAACAACUUUCUGUGGGCACUACAUGAUCAGACUGGUGAAAUGCCUCUUCGUGCUAAGAAACAAGUUGUGGAGAAAUAUCUGGAGGGCAGAAGGUUGACAGAGGAGAAGGUCCUUUUGGAAAAAGAGAUGACUGGAUUUUUGAAGUUCUACAAGGACACUGUUAUUCCAGAAAUCUUAUCAACAAUUGAAAGUCUGAAAGCAGUUUUGUCAGAAUGUAAUGAAGAUUGUUCAUUGGACGAGGCAAGUGGGCCAGUUUCCUCCUCUGAAGGUAGCUCGGUAGGUGUGCCUCUGACAUUACCUUUGAUUC